This is a long non-coding RNA of Apis florea (little honeybee), 1033 nucleotides long. NCBI's taxonomy places the organism in Eukaryota, Metazoa, Arthropoda, Insecta, Hymenoptera, Apidae. The record is from RefSeq and is a predicted model, not a curated record.
UUGUUUAUUAAGUCACAAAUUUGGCUUGUUAAGAAUUUACAUUAAAAACAUUUUCUUGCAAAUAUUGAUCUAACCUCACACAUUUUGAUAUUCAAUAAAAAGAAUAUGUGACAUUGAUGAAAUUUUCUUCAAUGAAAGAUAAUUUAAAUAAAAUAAAUUUAAAUAUUCUUUUCUUCGCCUUUCAUUACAAAAAAGAAAACUAAAAACUUUAAUUACCUAAUAUUUCCACAAAUUAUUCCGAGAUUCCAUUAAACUCGAAUCAAGAACGAAGCGAAAUUACACGCAUUAUCAUACUAUUUAUUCGAAAGGAAGAAAGAGAAAAAAGUUUUUUAUCACGUUAACAAUAUAGCGGUUUCUUGCAACGAAAAUGUGCAACGUACCGCGUAUAAUCAGAAAAACACGAAUGGCAAGUACCCCUGAUUGAAAUUGAUUUACGAGCGUGUGUUUAAAUUCUUAACCCUUCCAGACAAAGAGGAUAAAAACCGUGCUGGCAACACCGCUCUCCAUUGACAUGCUGGCACGAUUUACGAAAUUGCCCCGAUCCUUCUCGACAUUCAACUUUUUUCUCGCCAUUCAGUAACCAACCACUGUAAUGUAUGCACAUACGUAGAACUGGUAACAAUCUGUGCAACUUUUUCAAAGAAAAAUUGGAAACGAGUCUUUAUCUAUCCAUCUACGGAGGAACGAUUUAGAAAAUAAUAAUGAAAAUGAAUCGGACGAAAUGUAAAUUGUGGGAUAGCAGUCCGAUGAAAAGAAGAGUUCACUUUCGAACUUUUUGUAUGUGUAUAAUAAAUUUCAAAUCAAAAUAAAGCUUAAGCUUAUCAACAGAAUAACAUCACUUUAUAUAUAUCACAAAUAAUUUUUUGUCUCUCAACAGGACUACUAAUUUUCCUUAUUCGUUACAUAUUUAAUAGACACAUAACCUAUACAUAGCCAAAUCUUCAUAUCUAUAAUCACGUACACGAUAAUUCGUACCUUCCAAUCGUGUAAACAGCAUGCAUCUGAAAACAAAAAAAAAAAAGAAAAAAGAAAA